UACGGAGGGUGCAAGCGUUUAAUCGGAAUUACUGGGCGUAAAGCGUGCGCAGGCGGUUUGUUAAGUCUGCUGUGAAAUCCCCGAGCUCAACUUGGGAAUUGCAGUGGAUACUGGCAAGCUGGAGUACGGUAGAGGAAGGUGGAAUUCCCGGUGUAGCAGUGAAAUGCGUAGAGAUCGGGAGGAACACCAGUGGCGAAGGCGGCCUUCUGGACCAGUACUGACGCUCAUGCACGAAAGCGUGGGGAGCAAACAGG
This 254-nucleotide ribosomal RNA is filed under the name uncultured bacterium. RNAcentral describes it as "partial 16S ribosomal RNA". It matches the Rfam family "Bacterial small subunit ribosomal RNA", at positions 524 to 776 of the family's 1533-position model. The record is from RNAcentral.